GCCUUCUUGGCUCAGUUGGCAGAGCGUAUGCCUAGUAAGCAGAAGGUCACCAGUUCAAUUCUGGUAGAAGGCA
This 73-nucleotide transfer RNA is filed under the name Coemansia sp. RSA 2673. Its description in RNAcentral is "tRNA-Thr". It matches the Rfam family "tRNA". From Rfam's summary of the family: Transfer RNA (tRNA) molecules are approximately 80 nucleotides in length. Lineage: Eukaryota; Fungi; Kickxellomycota; Kickxellomycetes; Kickxellales; Kickxellaceae. The record is from RNAcentral.